This 509-nucleotide ribosomal RNA is filed under the name uncultured Methanosaeta sp. RNAcentral describes it as "bacterial SSU rRNA". It matches the Rfam family "Archaeal small subunit ribosomal RNA", at positions 399 to 904 of the family's 1478-position model. Lineage: Archaea; Methanobacteriati; Methanobacteriota; Methanomicrobia; Methanotrichales; Methanotrichaceae. The record is from RNAcentral.
AGUAGGAACUGUCCAGUUGUCUAAAAAACAACUGUUAGCAAGAGCCGGGCAAGACCGGUGCCAGCCGCCGCGGUAACACCGGCGGCUCGAGUGGUGACCGCUUUAUUGGGUCUAAAGGGUCUGUAGCCGGUCUAACAAGUUCUUUGGAAAAUCUGGUCGCUUAACGAUCAGGCUGCUAGGGGAUACUGUUGACUUGGGACCGGGAGAGGUCAGAGGUACUUUGGGGGUAGGGGUGAAAUCUUGUGAUCCUCGAAGGACCCACCAGAUGGCGAAGGGCAUCUACCAGAACGGAUCCGACGGUGAGGGACGAAAGCUAGGGGCACGAACCGGAUUAGAUACCCGGGUAGUCCCAGCCGUAAACGAUGCCCGCUAGGUGUCUCAGUUUUACUGCGAGUAAAAUUGGUGCCGUAGGGAAGCCGUGAAGCUCGCCACCUGGGAAGUACGGCCGCAAGGCUGAAACUUAAAGGAAUUGGCGGGGGAGCACUACAACGGGUGGAGCCUGCGGUUUA